Molecule: ribosomal RNA, 497 nt
Filed under: uncultured bacterium
Lineage: Bacteria
Description: partial 16S ribosomal RNA
Rfam family: Bacterial small subunit ribosomal RNA
Source: RNAcentral
GAUGAACGCUGGCGGCGUGCCUAAUACAUGCAAGUCGAGCGAACAGACGAGGAGCUUGCUCCUCUGACGUUAGCGGCGGACGGGUGAGUAACACGUGGAUAACCUACCUAUAAGACUGGGAUAACUUCGGGAAACCGGAGCUAAUACCGGAUAAUAUAUUGAACCGCAUGGUUCAAUAGUGAAAGACGGUUUUGCUGUCACUUAUAGAUGGAUCCGCGCCGCAUUAGCUAGUUGGUAAGGUAACGGCUUACCAAGGCAACGAUGCGUAGCCGACCUGAGAGGGUGAGGGGCCCCACGGAAAGAGAGACACGCCCAGUACCCUUACGGGGGAAGGAAGGGGGAAAUCUUCCGAAAGGGGGUAAGCGCGGAGGAGUAAGCGCCGGGGGGGUAAAGAGGUUCUGGGGUUGUAAAAACUUUUUUAUGGGGAAAAAACAAAUGUGAAAGAAACUAUGCACGUGUGGAGGGAACUAAAUAAAAAGCCCCGGGCAAACUAGGGG